This 390-nucleotide ribosomal RNA is filed under the name uncultured bacterium. RNAcentral describes it as "bacterial SSU rRNA". It matches the Rfam family "Bacterial small subunit ribosomal RNA", at positions 29 to 437 of the family's 1533-position model. The record is from RNAcentral.
AGCGAACGCUAGCGGCGGGCCUAACACAUGCAAGUCGAGCGGAGGGGCAACCCUCAGCGGCGAACGGGUGAGUAACACGUAGGUAAUGUACCCUCCGGUGGGGAAUAACCGCGGGAAACCGUGGCUAAUACCGCAUAUGUCUUUCGAGAUGAAAGCAGCAAUGCGCCGGUGGAGCAGCCUGCGGCCGAUUAUUUAGUCCUAGUUGGUAGGGUAAUGGCCUACCAAGGGUACGAUCGGUAGCUGGUCUGAGAGGAUGAUCAGCCGACACUGGAACUGAGACACGGUCCAGACUCCUACGGGAGGCAGCAGUGGGGAAUAUUGCGCAAUGGGCGAAAGCCUGACGCAGCCACGCCGCGUGAGUGAUGAAGGCCUUGGUUGUAAGACUCUGUC